This 293-nucleotide ribosomal RNA is filed under the name uncultured bacterium. RNAcentral's name for it is "partial 16S ribosomal RNA". It matches the Rfam family "Bacterial small subunit ribosomal RNA", at positions 775 to 1067 of the family's 1533-position model. The record is from RNAcentral.
GGAUUAGAUACCCUGGUAGUCCACACUGUAAACGAUGAGUGCUAGGUAUUGGAUUUUAAUUCAGUGCCGUAGCUAACGCGUUAAGCACUCCGCCUGGGGACUACGGUCGCAAGACUAAAACUCAAAGGAAUUGACGGGGGCCCGCACAAGCGGUGGAGCAUGUGGUUUAAUUCGAUGCUACGCGAAAAACCUUACCAACCCUUGAAAUGGUAGAUCGCGGAACUCAGAGAUGAGUUUCUUCAGUUCGGCUGGAUCUAUCACAGGUGUUGCAUGGCUGUCGUCAGCUCGUGCCG